RNAcentral lists this ribosomal RNA (455 nucleotides) under uncultured bacterium. Its description in RNAcentral is "bacterial SSU rRNA". It matches the Rfam family "Bacterial small subunit ribosomal RNA", at positions 28 to 507 of the family's 1533-position model. The record is from RNAcentral.
GACGAACGCUGGCGGCGUGCCUAACACAUGCAAGUCGAACGGAGCACUUCGGUGCUUAGUGGCGAACGGGUGAGUAACGCGUGAGCAACCUACCUUUCAGUGGGGGACAACAGUUGGAAACGACUGCUAAUACCGCAUGACGUCAUCGGGGGACAUCCCUUGGUGACCAAAGCUUUAUGUGCUGAAAGAUGGGCUCGCGUCUGAUUAGCUAGAUGGCGGGGUAACGGCCCACCAUGGCGACGAUCAGUAGCCGGUCUGAGAGGAUGAACGGCCACAUUGGGACUGAGAUACGGCCCAGACUCCUACGGGAGGCAGCAGUGGGGAAUAUUGCACAAUGGGCGCAAGCCUGAUGCAGCAACGCCGCGUGAGGGAAGACGGUUUUCGGAUUGUAAACCUCUGUCUUUGGUGACGAAGAAGUGACGGUAGCCAAGGAGGAAGCCACGGCUAACUACGUG